ACGGCGAGUGAAGCGGCAACAGCUCAAAUUUGAAAUCUGGCUUCGGUCCGAGUUGUAAUUUGCAGAGGAUGUUUAUGGUGCAGUACCUUCCGAGUUCCCUGGAACGGGACGCCACAGAGGGUGAGAGCCCCGUCUGGUUGGAUACUAAACCUAUGUUAAACUCCUUCAACGAGUCGAGUAGUUUGGGAAUGCUGCUCUAAAUGGGAGGUAAAUCUCUUCUAAAGCUAAAUACCGGCCAGAGACCGAUAGCGCACAAGUAGAGUGAUCGAAAGAUGAAAAGCACCUUGAAAAGGGGGUUAAACAGUACGUGAAAUUGUUAAAAGGGAAGCGUUUAUGACCAGACUUGUGUCGUGUGGCUCAUCCGAGGUUCUCCCCGGUGCACUCCACACGGCUCAGGCCAACAUCGGUUCUCGUUGGGGGAUAAGAACAGUAGGAACGUGGCCCCUCUCGGGGGGUGUUAUAGCCUAUUGUACGAUACCCUGAUGGGGACCGAGGACCGCGCUUCGGCUAGGAUGUUGGCGUAAUGGUCAUUAGCGACCCGUCUUGAAACACGGACCAAGGAGUCGUCCAUUAGAGCAAGCGUUUGGGUGUAAAACCCGCACGCGUAAUGAAAGUGAAAUUAGGUGAGAGCUUCGGCGCAUCAUCGACCGAUCCUGAAGUUUACGGAUGGAUUUGAGUAAGAGUUUUAACGGACGGACCCGAAAGACAGUGAACUAUGCUUGAAUAGGGUGAAGCCAGAGGAAACUCUGGUGGAGGCUCGCAGCGGUUCUGACGUGCAAAUCGAUCGUCAAA
This 792-nucleotide ribosomal RNA is filed under the name Sirococcus quercus. RNAcentral's name for it is "eukaryotic LSU rRNA". It matches the Rfam family "Eukaryotic large subunit ribosomal RNA", at positions 86 to 909 of the family's 3401-position model. Lineage: Eukaryota; Fungi; Ascomycota; Sordariomycetes; Diaporthales. The record is from RNAcentral.